Molecule: transfer RNA, 83 nt
Filed under: Oryctolagus cuniculus (rabbit)
Lineage: Eukaryota; Metazoa; Chordata; Mammalia; Lagomorpha; Leporidae
Rfam family: tRNA
About the family: Transfer RNA (tRNA) molecules are approximately 80 nucleotides in length.
Source: Rfam by way of RNAcentral
GGCGCUGUGGCGCAGUGGGUUAACGCCCUGGCCUGAAGUGCCAGCAUCCCCUUUGGGUGCCGGUUCAAAACCCGGCUGCUCCA